This 429-nucleotide ribosomal RNA is filed under the name Bacteroidota bacterium. RNAcentral describes it as "Bacteroidetes bacterium partial 16S ribosomal RNA". It matches the Rfam family "Bacterial small subunit ribosomal RNA", at positions 355 to 776 of the family's 1533-position model. The record is from RNAcentral. Lineage: Bacteria; Pseudomonadati; Bacteroidota. RNAcentral also lists the same sequence under 1 other name.
UAGGGAAUCUUCGGCAAUGGGGGGAACCCUGACCGAGCAACGCCGCGUGAGUGAAGAAGGUUUUCGGAUCGUAAAGCUCUGUUGUUAAGGAAGAACGAGUGUGAGAAUGGAAAGUUCAUGCUGUGACGGUACUUAACCAGAAAGGGACGGCUAACUACGUGCCAGCAGCCGCGGUAAUACGUAGGUCCCGAGCGUUGUCCGGAUUUAUUGGGCGUAAAGCGAGCGCAGGCGGUUAGAAAAGUCUGAAGUGAAAGGCAGUGGUUCAACCAUUGUAGGCUUUGGAAACUGUUUAACUUGAGUGCAGAAGGGGAGAGUGGAAUUCCAUGUGUAGCGGUGAAAUGCGUAGAUAUAUGGAGGAACACCGGUGGCGAAAGCGGCUCUCUGGUCUGUAACUGACGCUGAGGCUCGAAAGCGUGGGGAGCGAACAGG